CCUACGGGGUGCUGCAGUGGGGAAUAUUGCACAAUGGGGGAAACCCUGAUGCAGCGACGCCGCGUGAGUGAAGAAGUACCUCGGUAUGUAAAGCCUCAUCAGCAGGGAAGAAGAAAGACGGUACCUGAUUAAGAAGCCCCGGCUAACUACGUGCCAGCAGCCGCGGGAAUACGUAGGGGGCAAGCGUUAUCCGGAUUUACUGGGUGUAAAGGGAGCGUAGACGGCAGUGCAAGGCUGAAGUGAAAGCCCAGGGCUCAACCCUGGGACUGCUUUGGAAACUGUGGAGCUAGAGUGCUGGAGAGGUAAGUGGAAUUCCUGGUGUAGCGGUGAAAUGCGUAGAUAUUAGGAGGAACACCAGUGGCGAAGGCGGCUUACUGGACAAUAACUGACGUUGAGGCUCGAAAGCGUGGGGAGCGAACAGGAUUAGAUACCCGUGUAGUC
Molecule: ribosomal RNA, 441 nt
Filed under: uncultured bacterium
Lineage: Bacteria
Description: partial 16S ribosomal RNA
Rfam family: Bacterial small subunit ribosomal RNA
Source: RNAcentral